This 492-nucleotide ribosomal RNA is filed under the name uncultured bacterium. RNAcentral's name for it is "partial 16S ribosomal RNA". It matches the Rfam family "Bacterial small subunit ribosomal RNA", at positions 28 to 507 of the family's 1533-position model. The record is from RNAcentral.
GAUGAACGCUAGCUACAGGCUUAACACAUGCAAGUCGAGGGGAAACGGCAUCGAAAGCUUGCUUUUGAUGGGCGUCGACCGGCGCACGGGUGAGUAACGCGUAUCCAACCUGCCCAUCACUUGGGAAUAACCUUGCGAAAGUAAGACUAAUGCCCAAUGACAUCCCACGAAGGCAUCCGAAUGGGAUUAAAGAUUUACCGGUGAUGGAUGGGGAUGCGUCUGAUUAGCUUGUUGGCGGGGUGACGGCCCACCAAGGCAACGAUCAGUAGGGGUUCUGAGAGGAAGGUCCCCCACAUUGGAACUGAGACACGGUCCAAACUCCUACGGGAGGCAGCAGUGAGGAAUAUUGGUCAAUGGGCGAGAGCCUGAACCAGCCAAGUAGCGUGCAGGAUGACGGCCCUAUGGGUUGUAAACUGCUUUUAUAAGGGAAUAAAGUGGGUCACGUGUGACUUUUUGCAUGUACCUUAUGAAUAAGGACCGGCUAAUUCCGUG